AUGUCAGUUUCAGAUACGAACCUUAAUAAUGGAGAAAAGCCCAUCUUCGAAAUUACCGAUGCGGAACUCGCCGAAAAGCAUGGUCAUAUGAAGUUAGUAUGCUCACAGACAAGGUUCGGAAAAACCAUGAAACUGUUGUCACAAGACCAUAGAAAGUACAUCAUAUCAGAAACCAGUCUUGGCGGUCUGACCCAGAUGCAUGAAGUGACUCUACGGCGCAUAAUGUUGGACGUGCAAGGUAUAUUUGGUAUUCCGAUAGAAGGGGAGGAUAUAGAGCCACAUCUGGAAAUGCAAACCGACACAGAAUUGUUUACCGCCUAUGCAAACAAUGGGCAAAUUUUGAUUUCUGACCUUGAAACGGCGAUCCGAGCUUCCAAAGCCCCAGACGGCGAUUUCCUGAGGCGGUUCAUUCUGUAUGCAAUUGGUAGUGUUCUAGCACCAACAGCACAACAUUAUGUGGACUCGAAAUUUCUCAACCUCGUUACAGAUCUUGAAAACCUUCGGAAAUUUAACUGGGGAUGUUUCACACUUAAUCACUUCUUCAAGUCCGUUCACAAGUUUAGAAAUCGAGAUCACGUAAAUCUACAAGGAAAUCUAAUUCUGCUCCAGUAUUGGUACUGGGAGCACGUGCGUAGUGGCCGAUUAAUGUAUGCUUCUAGACCACCUCCAUUGAUCGCACGAUGGGACGAAAUGAUGGCUACUUUAAGAAGCGAUGCUUACGAGAAAGGAGGUCUUCAUAACGGGCUGGUUGUCAUGGAAAUUUCUGCUCCUCAACGACCGUCCAAGAAUUCUAAUAAUUUUCCAAGAAAAAAAGAUGAACAUGUGCAUCAACAUGAUUCGUAUCGAGCACCAUCACAAGGACAACAAUUUAGUAGCCAGCAAAUUGAAAUGGUAGUUGAAGUCAUGAAUGCACGCAUUGCUGAUCAUGAAAAGAAGACUCUAGGUGAAGACUUGAUCGACAUGAAGACUAAAACUGUCACUAAUCCUAGGUUGUCGAAGGCCGAGGACGAAAUUAAAGACUUAAGGAGGGAACUCCAUAACUUAAAAUAUGAAUUUACAAGGAACCGACAAUCACUGUCACAGAAAGGAGGCGUGCAGUUCACGGAUGAGGACAUAGAGACAGCCGUUUACAUCCGCGGAACAUAUGACCCUGUUGAAAUAGCUAGAAUCGGAGACAUUUCCCUCACAGCAGAAAAUCUGAAGCGAAAUUUGGACGAGAAAUACAUUUAUGGUGAUACUCUGAACUCCAUGAAUUAUCAUUGCGACAAGACCAAGGAAGAUUAUCUUGUGGACUGGAUUCAGUUAUGCAUUGACGAAGCUGUCAAGAAAGGGUUGAUAUCACCAGCUAAUAACAUCAAUUUUGCCAAAUGGACCAAAAAAUGCUAUGAGAACAUACCACAACAGUCCGAUGGGACUUCCUGUGCGGUUUGGACAUUGCAGUACAUGUUGUCAUGGAACGGGGAUGAAAUGACCGAUAUUUUGAACCAGAAGGAGGUGUACGAUGCCCAGCAAGCAGUUCUACCUGAUGCUUCAGAAGAGGACGUACAAUUAGUCAACAAUCCCGAUGGUUCCAACGAACCUGACACAUCCAACUCCCAGAAGGAUACCGGUGCAGCCAAUUCCCCCAAAAGGAAGAGAGCACGUGGACGCCCGAGAAAGCUAGUUGAUCCCGAGCAAGCAGCAAAAACAAAGAGUCUUAAAGAACUGAAACUUAAAUUUGACAGCAAGACCAUAGCCAACCAAGUGUCUUCGUUACCAUCAUGGUCACGCAGAGAGCAUAAACCAGCACCAGCUUUAUUGAGCCCAUUCAAGCACAAAUAG
RNAcentral lists this ribosomal RNA (1821 nucleotides) under Triticum aestivum (bread wheat). Its description in RNAcentral is "partial small subunit ribosomal RNA". Lineage: Eukaryota; Viridiplantae; Streptophyta; Magnoliopsida; Poales; Poaceae. The record is from RNAcentral.